This 253-nucleotide ribosomal RNA is filed under the name uncultured bacterium. RNAcentral's name for it is "partial 16S ribosomal RNA". It matches the Rfam family "Bacterial small subunit ribosomal RNA", at positions 524 to 776 of the family's 1533-position model. The record is from RNAcentral.
GACAGAGGGUGCUAGCGUUGUUCGGAAUUACUGGGCGUAAAGGGCGCGUAGGCGGCUCGUUUAGUCGGGUGUGAAAUCCCGGGGCUCAACCCCGGAACUGCAUUCGAUACUGGCGGGCUAGAGACCGGAAGAGGUGGGUGGAAUACCCAGUGUAGAGGUGAAAUUCGUAGAUAUUAGGAAGAACACCAGUGGCGAAGGCGGCUCACUGGCCCGGUACUGACGCUGAGGCGCGAAAGCGUGGGGAGCAAACAGG